AUUCCAGCUCCAAUAGCGUAUAUUAAAGUUGUUGCAGUUAAAAAGCUCGUAGUUGGAUGUUGGGUUCUAGUUAUGUUCGGUCUCUUCUAGAGUACUGUCAUGCUGGCCCUUUUUCUCGAGGCCUAUAGGUGCACUUAACCGUGUGUUUAUAGUGUUCGGGACUUUUACCGUGAGAAAAUUAGAGUGUUCAUAGCAGGCUAGUGCUUGAAUAUUACAGCAUGGAAUAAUGGAAUAGGAUCAUGAUCUUAUUUUGUUGGUUUCUAAGAUUAAGAUAAUGAUUAAUAGGGAUAGUUGGGGGCAUUAGUAUUUAAUUGUCAGAGGUGGAAUUCUCAGAUUUGUUAAAGACUAACUUAUGCGAAAGCAUUUGCCAAGGAUGUUUUCAUCA
This 385-nucleotide ribosomal RNA is filed under the name Ichthyosporea sp. RNAcentral's name for it is "partial small subunit ribosomal RNA". It matches the Rfam family "Eukaryotic small subunit ribosomal RNA", at positions 582 to 975 of the family's 1831-position model. The record is from RNAcentral. Lineage: Eukaryota; Ichthyosporea.